CUUCGGUGAUGAUACGAUGACGAGUCGGAAUGGGACAGUCGGUCUCUGCAGUCACUGGGUCAGGGACACGUUCUGUGUCUCUGGGUUCAGUUCCCCAGAGCAGCGUGUCUCUUCAGUUGAAGACAUCGAGGCAUUUGUCUGAGAAGG
RNAcentral lists this small nucleolar RNA (147 nucleotides) under Oncorhynchus mykiss (rainbow trout). Lineage: Eukaryota; Metazoa; Chordata; Actinopteri; Salmoniformes; Salmonidae. The record is from RNAcentral.